AUGUACUGGAAGACGGUGACGCCCUCGGCGCGGCAGUCGUCCCAGAACUGGCUGGCUGAGAACUUCUCCUUCAGCACGCACGUGGCCCCUGCGGGAUGGAGGGGGGGGGGAUCAGCCCCGAGACACCCCCGGAACCCCCCCGGGGCCCCGUCCUGGCUCACCGAUGCCCAGGCAGCCGACGAUGCCCAGCAGGGACCCGGCCAUGUGGUAGAGGGGCAGCGCCAGGUACACGACGUCCCGGCUGGAGGCUCCCACCAGCUCGUAGAAGCCCAGGCACAUGAUGGACUUGAGGUGGGACACGCGGGCGGCUUUGGGGAGGCCUGGAAGGGCAAAACACAGUUGAGCCCCCCCAGGCUCAAACAGAACCCCCCGAGCCCCGGUGCCGGCCCCACCGGUGGUGCCCGAGGUGAAGAUGUAGAGGCAGGUGUCGUUCAUGUCCUCGGGCUCCCACACGUCCUCGGGCUCCAGCUCCUCGGAGGCCGCGUCCAGCAGCUCCUGCAGCGCCACGACGCCGGGCGGGUACGGCCCCGCUCCCAGCACCCACACGGCCACGCCGUCCUCCCGCAGGCUGGGCAGGAGCGGCUCCACCGACCCGAACAGGUCUGGGGGGACGGCACCGUGUGGGGGGACCACCCCGCCGGCCCCGGUGCCACUUGUGCCACCCAACCUUUGUCCCCCCCGUCCCCGGUCCUGCCCCGUUAUUCUCCUGGUCCUGCUCCGGCUCCCCGUCCUCUCAUCCCCCCGGUCCCGUUAUACCCUGGGAUCUCCCCACUCCGCGCCCCAUCACUCCCCGGUCCCCGCCGUUCCCCGGUGCCUUUCCCCGGGAAUUCCUCGGUCCCCUCCCGCUCCCCUCGGUGUCCCCCCGUUAUCCCCCGGACCCCGAACGCUCCCCGCUUCCUCUCGGCCCUUUCCCCCCACGCUCCCCGGUGUCCCCCCGGUGUCCCCCCGGUGUCCCCGGGUCUCACCGUCCGCCACCAGCAGCGCCCGCGCCCCGCAGCCGCGCAGGCAGUGCCGGAGCCCCGCGGGGCGCAGCGCCGUGCCCAGGAAGGCCGGGCGGGCCCCGAGCGCCGCCAGCCCGAACCAGCCCCACACGAAGCGGGGCUCGUUGCCCACCAGCAGCCCCACGGUGUCCCCGGGCCGCGGCGGGGCCCGCAGCGCCCGCAGCGCGUUCGCCACCCGCGCCAC
Molecule: long non-coding RNA, 1185 nt
Filed under: Chloebia gouldiae (Gouldian finch)
Lineage: Eukaryota; Metazoa; Chordata; Aves; Passeriformes; Passeridae
Description: Erythrura gouldiae (Gouldian finch) lncRNA (ENSEGOG00005017492.1)
Source: RNAcentral